This 407-nucleotide ribosomal RNA is filed under the name uncultured bacterium. Its description in RNAcentral is "partial 16S ribosomal RNA". It matches the Rfam family "Bacterial small subunit ribosomal RNA", at positions 28 to 526 of the family's 1533-position model. The record is from RNAcentral.
GACGAACGCUGGCGGCGUGCCUAAUACAUGCAAGUAGGACGCAGUUGCGAACGGGUGAGUCACGCGUAGGUAACUACCUAUUAGAGGGGGAUAACUAUUGGAAACGAUAGCUAAUACCGCAUACUAGUAGAUGGACCUGCGUUGUAUUAGCUAGUAGGUAGGGUAAUGGCCUACCUAGGCAACGAAACAUUCCCGACCGUGGAGGGGGAUCGGACAAACGGUGCACGAGGAACGGCCCAGACUCCUCCAGGAGGAAGGAGUAGGUAAUCUUCGGAAAUGGGUGGAACCCUGACCGAGCAACGCCGCGUGAAUGAAGAAGGUUUUCGGAUCGUAAAGCUCUGUUGUUAAGGAAGCGGUACUUAACCAGAAAGGGACGGCUAACUACGUGCCAGCAGCCGCGGUAAUAC